GCCUGGCAUGUCAGUCUCAACGCAGCGCCCGAGGGCUUCUUUAAAACCCAAGUCAAAUCAUACACUCCUCUGCUCAAAGGCCACCAAUCGCGCCCACACCAUCAAAGUAAAAGCCCAGGCCCAGGAAGUAGAAUGGGGGCUGUCAAGAGCUGGGGAAGGGGGAGCUAGUGUUUAAUAGGUGUAGCGUUUCAGCUGGGGGAUGAGAAAGUUCUGGAGAUGGAUGGUGGAGAUGGUUGUGCAACAAUGGGAAUGCUAUAAACGUGGGUGGGGAAGACUUCAGAGGAGGAAGUUUUAUGGGGGAGAGCAGGAGCUCAGUUUGGGGCAUGUCAAGAAUGAGAUGCCUUAUUAAACAUUCGAGCCAAGACACUGAACAGAGCUGAGUCUGGAGUUCACAGAGAGCCAAGCUGGGGACAUGGAUUUGCAAUCAAUCAGUGCACAGAUGGCAUCAGUUCCACGGGACUGAGAGUUCACCAGCGUAGCGAGAACAGCCAAAACCAAACCAAACCAAAACGUUCUCCACAGGUCCCAGGAGUGAGCCAGAGACUUUAAGCUGAAAGGUCAGCCAUCCAAGGAGGGAUCAGGAAGGGGAAGAGGAGGAACAGCAACGAGGGAGGGAGGACCGCCGGAAGGGUGAGCGCUAUGCUCGUGGGCUCGGGCGGAGUGGCACCUCGGGAGCUUCCUACUAUCAGGGUUUGUGCCUGCACGAAUCUGUCUACAGCCACUGCUAAAUCUGAGGGCCAUUGGGAGGCAGUUCAGGGUUUGGAGUUGUGUGAGGAGACAAGGUUAGGGAUGGGAAUUGAGGAGCAGUGCAGGAGGGCCGGGCGUGUAGGGAGGUGCCCCAUUGAAGGGAGUGGGAGUGUGUGGGUUGGGGAGCAGCUGUUCAGAGGGGUCCACUGUGGCCCCCAGACUCUGGGCUGAUCCCCAGAGUAAAGAAGAUGGACAUAUCCUCUAGGGACCUGCACUGUCCCCUCACACCCCCAUAAGAAUGGUCUGGGGCUGCUGAUAGAAG
RNAcentral lists this long non-coding RNA (1009 nucleotides) under Homo sapiens (human). Its description in RNAcentral is "HSALNT0133131". The record is from RNAcentral. Lineage: Eukaryota; Metazoa; Chordata; Mammalia; Primates; Hominidae.